GAAGGCUAGUUGGUUGUACAAGGGUGGGGUAGGGUGGGUGGACAAGUAAGGCAAGGGGGUUUUGGAAGUAGAGGUACAAUGGUAGGCCUGAGGCUUAUACAGUAGAGGGGAUGACCAAGCUUUAGGGUGAUGGAUUAUGGUAAGCUGUCUUAGGGGUAAUGAAUUACAAGUGUCCUUCUGUCCUUGCCUUUGAAUUAUGUCACUUUAAAUAUGUUUGUAUUACCAAUAUAAAGUGUGAGCAUUCCUUCCAUAAGAAUUUGCCUGUAGAGGCACAUAGCUACUUUUAUUCCUCCUUGUCUCUAAAAGAAACUUUACAUCUGCAAGUGUUCAGCCAUUGAUAUAUCUGACUACGUGACAGUCACAGCAUAAUGGGUACAAGUGUGUACUAUUGCAUUAUUUGGUAUGAGCUAGCAUAAUAUGCAUGGUAUUAUGCCUUAUAUCCAUGAACCGUUUCCAUAGAAAUGGUCUUGUUAGUUAGUUCUGGAUGGUAUAAGAAUUUGAGAAAAGUGCAACAAAAGCCUUGUUUCCAUUAUUUUGUAUGGAACUUCUCUCAAUGAAGCCACUAGAUGAAAGUAAACUCCAAUGUUGAAAUAUGGUUAGAAUUCCUGGAGCCGAGUUGUGGUCUGGACUUGGCUCAGGUCCUUCUUCUUCACUUCUUUGAGUGGCAUUUUAGAAGUUGGGAAGUACAAUAUAGAACAAACUUUAUGGAUAACAACUUCUUUUUAUUGUUAAAAAGAACUUGUUAUCCAUAAAGUUUGUUCUAUAUUGUCCUUCUUCUUCAGUUUGUUUUUGUGUAUAAGUCAACCCUGUGUUCCAGCCUAGCUAGUGUUCCAGCCUUUCGGUGAGUUUUACUGUGUUUGGUGCAUAUUGCACUCAUUUACCUUGUCUUAUAUUGGACCUCCCAUGCAUUCAGAUGUUUCAUUUCUUGUAUAUUUCGACAUGUACAUUAGACUGUUAGCUGUUACUUAUGCACUGUAGUGUACCACUGGGUGAGCUGGGGGCAAUGUGAUGUGAGGUUGGUGAGGAGUGUAUUAUGUAGAGAUGGUGGAUGGAGUUUCCAGGAAACAUAGAUAGAUGUUUGUGUAGUUUCACUAAGUAGAUAUCCCUCUUCCAUGGUUAGUAUCGAUAUUAAAACAUUUCACUGAAGUAUCAAUAUAUUACCUAUCAACUCUGUUGUUAUGUAUGUUGGUCUAAAGGCCUGUCUCUAUGGGUAUUCAGAGUCAUCAGAGGUUACAGUAGUUGGAAAAGUAGAAAAUGGUCAGCUUGAGUAAAACCAGAGUGACAGUCAUUACUUUGAAUAUAGUCUUGAAGCUUUUAAAAACUAAAAAAAAAUACAAAUAAAAUAAAAUACAUUUAAAAACAAUAAGUUGGCCAUUCCUUUGUUUCCCUUGAACACUGCCUGAUUAUUGUAAUCAACAUAUUAGAUUCAACAUUGGUCCAACUACAUGUCACACUGAAUACAGUUUAUGUAAAACUCUAAAUCCUAUCUCAAGCCAUUAUUGUUAGGACAUUGUUUCAGAAAGAAUAAAAAACAGUGGUAUGAAUCGAACUUUUUAUGCCAAAAUAUUUUGAGAUCAGAAUGCCUUGUGUAAAGAAACCUUUCUUCAGUAAAUUUUCAUUUUCCAUAAACUAGUUUGGAUGAUAUGAUGACACUAAGAAGAACAAUACUCACUGGAAGUGUGUCUGUAUAAGUUUUCUUAUGAAAGACAAUUGUUAAACUAAACCUGUUGAACUGUUACCUUGUUGGGAUAUUCAGUGAUGAAGUUUGAAAGCAUUUAAAAAGCCAAAGUGAUGAUUGAUAUCUACGUUGAAUUGAAACUUGAUAGAUGAAAGGUUACUGUUAUGUUUCUCUUGUUAUACAUAUAUAAUCGGCUCACUACUGUAUUGUUAUUGCUUGUAAAGACAUUCCAUUGGGAAAAUGACAUGCUUUGUUAGGUCUGCCACGUUAAACAUUGAAUUGGAACAUGUUCUGGGGAAUUCUUUCUAUAAUUUUGGACUAUUCAUGAAUUAUGUUAUUAAAAAAGGUAUAGCGUAGGACUGCUGCAUAUAUGUUGUUUUACUUUUACGUUUUUAUGAUUGACUAAUUAUCAAAAGACAUGUUAUGUAAAUACAUAUCAAUUUAUUUGGGUAUUUUUAGGACAGUGUUAUGUUAGUAACUGACUUUUGUGCCUGUUACUUAGUUAUCUAAACUAUUUUGUCAUCAUUUGAUGAUUUGAUAAUCAAAAGGUACGGUUCCAGGAAGGGAUUAUGUUGGCUUCUACUUGGUUUUCCACAUAAACAGUGACAAGGUUUGAGGUUAGGCCAUGGACUACAAAGCACCUGUUUGUGGCCCAGGUUUGGAGUCAGGCCAUGGAGUACAAAGCACCUGUUUGUGGCCCAGGUUUGUUGUCCGGCCAUGGAGUACAAAGCACCUGUUUGUGGCCCAGGUUUGGGGUCAGGCCAUGGAGUACAAAGCACCUGUUUGUGGCCCAGGUUUGGGGUCAGGCCAUGGACUACAAAGCACCUGUUUGUGGCCCAGGUUGGAGGUCAGGCCAUUGAGUACAAAGCACCUGUUUGUGGCCCUGGUUUGGGGUCAGGCCAUGGAGUACAAAGCACCUGUUUGUGGCCCAGGUUUGUUGUCCGGCCAUGGAGUACAAAGCACCUGUUUGUGGCCCAGGUUUGUUGUCCGGCCAUGGAGUACAAAGCACCUGUUUGUGGCCCAGGUUUGGGGUCAGGCCAUGGAGUACAAAGCACCUGUUUGUGGCCCAGGUUUUGGGUUAGGCCAUGGAGUACAAAGCACCUGUUUGUGGCCCAGGUUUGGGGUCAGGCCAUGGAGUACAAAUCACCUGUUUGUGGCCCAGGUUUGGGGUCAGGCCAUGGAGUACAAAUCACCUGUUUGUGGCCCAGGUUUUGGGUUAGGCCAUGGAGUACAAAACACCUGUUUGUGGCCCAGGUUUGGGGUUAGGCCAUGGAAUACAAAACACCUGUUUGUGGCCCAGGCUUUAUGUCAGGUGACUGAGUGCAAAGCACUUGUAGGUAGGUUAGGCAGCUUAUCAUCAACAAAUGGUCACACACUUACUGGUAUUACUGGGACAUUUCAACCUGUACUUAAACAUUGAUUUAUAAUGCUUACAUUUACUAGGCUGAAUAAACAGCCAAUUACAAAUGGUCACAUGACCAUGUCUUUCAUUGCCCUGAGGAAAUGAAAAUUAUAUCCACAGACAUCCAUGAUAUGUUUCAUGUGAGUUGAUGUUCGUGCAGGUAUCAGAGGAGAGUUCAUCACGAGCAUGUAACAUUGUUUAUGUACACCCAGUCUGAAUAUGUCUACAUUUAUUUCUAUAUUUAUGUAUGUACACAUUGUACAGUUGUGGUAGAAGCUGAGAGAGUGGGCAACGUUAUUCCUGUGGAUGUUUUAUUGUUUGUUUUAUUCGACUAGUUUUUUGAUGUUUUUGCAAGAUUUCUAUAUUAUACGCAAUGCCUUGUGACUUUUCAUUCUGUUAACACUUUACCAGGCCGUAGGAUGUGAGAUUUAGAAAAAUAAUGCAUUUGAUACUUUGUUUUAUUAUUCUCAGCACAAUGGAAUUAAUUUCAGAUUGUGUAUAAUUUCUUUACUAACACUUCGUAACAAUUUGAGGCAGUAGAAUUCAAACAGCGGAAUAUAUUAUGGCUUUGAUUUUAGUUCUAAAAUGGUAACAUUUCUGACAUUGUUGAUGAUUUUGUAGUGAUCUCCUGAAUGCUUGAGUCAUAUCAUGUGAAAUGUUCACUAUUCAGGCAAAGCUUCUGUUAGUCACAGUCAGUCUAAAGUCUCCUAUUAUGGGGUAUCACGACCUAGGAACGUUUCUUUAGACACGGUAAGCACCAGUGGUAUCAAUGCUGCCCUCACUGAGUGGAUUGAUAAAGCAGUGGUGAUUGCUAGGUCUUUGUGUAGAGAUGAGUUGGAAAGCAUAUGUCUGAUAAAGGAAACAUGUAAAAUCUUGAAGUGCACCUUGAACAACACUUGGUCGUAACAUGGAACAAACACCCACAUUCAGCAGUAUUGAUGUUUUCUAAAAGCAUGUUUUGUAGGUUGCACAUACAAACAUAUUACUCACUGAAUAGGAAACAUUAUUUCAGAAAGCCCCCCGGAAGUUUUAGAUAUGGUGAUUGAUUUUAGCCGAGUUUCUGCAGAUAUAUGAGAAUGUUUGAAAUCUUACCACCUCUAUGAUAUGUACUGGUGCUUGUAGUGUUGUAUGGCAAAUGAAAUGGUUUCAACUUCUGGAUAUGCUUCCAUGUUUGAUAUAAUGUAUUAUGUUCUUGAAAUGUAUGUAUACUGUUUUAUGGCACUAUUAUGCACAUGUUACAAUAAGAUUAACACUAACUAAAUAAAUAUAUACAAUUGGUACCAAGACUUUUGUUAGAGGAUUAAUUUUGUAUUAGUAAUCAAGAAAAAAAUAUUCAUGCUUGUUAGAUUUUGGCGUUGCGAAAUGUAAAGGAAGCCUUUAUGGUGAAGUAUUGAUUUCAGUGACAGACAAACCUUAGUUCUGAAGGGAACCACUUGUUCCCCUGCCCAAAGACUGUUCUCGUAUCAAGUGUAAGUAACAGGUGGAACUCCUUCAUGUAUCUGUGAUCUGGGAGCUGUCCCUUCAGCAUGUGGCAUCACAUGCUGCCAUCAUCAUGCCAACCACAAGUCCAAUAAAACAUGAUAUACCUCUUUACGAUGCCCUAUGGGUUUUUGGGUCUGUGAUGCCACAUGUUGAUUGAGCAGGUCAUUGAGAUGCAUGGUUCCAAGUUAUUUUGGUCAGGAAGUUGCUACCAAGGCACCUUGAGACAUGGGGGAUCACCUAGCUCGUUAUUGCACAGGAACACUGGCUUUUGUCAUUACAUUAUCAUCACUUUAUCACUGCAUUCAUCGACAUCAUCAAAGAUGAUGGUCGGUGCUAUUUUCACAAAUAAAGAGGUAUAAAUUCA
Haliotis rubra (blacklip abalone) is the source of this 4926-nucleotide long non-coding RNA. RefSeq lists it as uncharacterized. Lineage: Eukaryota; Metazoa; Mollusca; Gastropoda; Lepetellida; Haliotidae. The transcript is spliced from 2 exons. The record is from RefSeq and is a predicted model, not a curated record.